Pipra filicauda (Wire-tailed manakin) is the source of this 935-nucleotide long non-coding RNA. RefSeq lists it as uncharacterized. The transcript has 3 exons. Lineage: Eukaryota; Metazoa; Chordata; Aves; Passeriformes; Pipridae. The record is from RefSeq and is a predicted model, not a curated record.
ACUACUGCAUGCUUUCUUCUGAUCUUGAAAGGUAUUGGGACUUAUGGGAUGUGACUUUGAUCCAUUUCCUAAGUACACAGAGCAGUUAUCUGCACAUGGAUGGAGAGGCAAGAGAUUCCAUUUGCAGCCCAAAACAAUUGUCUUGAGAUGUAGGUGGCUGGAGUCCAGUGUUUGCUUUUCUUAUUAACCUGAAGACUGAACUCUCUUAAGAAUCUUAAAGUGCUUUUUACAUUUAUUAGUAGUAUUAUCAGCAUUUUACAUUGCUUCCCCUCCCCCCAUUUUCCCAGUUAGUUGGCUUCUCCAGUUCAGUAAUGGUAGGCUCCAUGUGUUGUAGGUCCCAUGAUUCCAUGACAGUGUGGGAUGAUGACCCAGGAGCCAGGCAAUGGUGAAGGCUGCCUAUUUAUGGCCUACAGUGGGUACCCUCUACGUUAUCUUUGUGGAUGGAGAUGGGCAUGGUUGACAUCAAGAAAGGAUGUGUUGGCCAAAGGAGGAGUGGAGCCAGGAUGAUCAUCUUUUGGCUCUGACAAACAGAACAGACCAGAACAAAAUCGUAAGACUGGAACCUUGAAGCAUACCAGGCCCAAAAAUUAAGAUUCAUUGAACAGGAAACGCAACCCCCCUGCAUAUGUUAAUAAGGUUAAUGAAGUACUUGCUACCACACAUGACUAUGUUACUCAGCUCUCCACUUCUAUCACGCCAUACGUAACAGGAGGAGGAGGAGACAAUUGGGCUGUAUAUAAGGAGGGUAGAAACUUCAUCGAAGUACGGGGAAGACCCAAAAAGACCUCAGGGACAGUCAACGGACGACUCUCCUCUCUCUCAUCCCAAGCAGGAACGUCUUUGUGAACCACCUGUCAUGUCAGAGAAGUUACAUGUCCUUGGGGGCUUCUCUCCCCCCGAACCUGCUACUGAAAGAAUCCAGGAUAUCACCAACG